RNAcentral lists this ribosomal RNA (515 nucleotides) under uncultured bacterium. Its description in RNAcentral is "bacterial SSU rRNA". It matches the Rfam family "Bacterial small subunit ribosomal RNA", at positions 791 to 1310 of the family's 1533-position model. The record is from RNAcentral.
UAGUCCACGCCCUAAACUAUGUUCACUCGAUAUUGGCGAUACACUGUCAGUGUCUAAGCGAAAGCGUUAAGUGAACCACCUGGGGAGUACGUUCGCAAGAAUGAAACUCAAAGGAAUUGACGGGGGUCCGCACGAGCGGUGGAGCAUGUGGUUUAAUUCGAUGAUACGCGAGGAACCUUACCUGGGCUCGAACGCAAUGGGACCGUCCCUGAAAGGGGACUUUUCUUCGGAACCGAUUGUGAGGUGCUGCAUGGUUGUCGUCAGCUCGUGCCGUGAGGUGUCAGGUUAAGUCCUAUAACGAGCGCAACCCCUAUUGAUAGUUGCCAUCAUUAAGUUGGGCACUUUAAAGAGACUGCCGGUGACAAACCGGAGGAAGGUAAGGAUGACGUCAAGUCAGCAUGCCCCUUAUGCUCCGGGCUACACACGUGCUACAAUGGCCGUGACAAAGAGUUGCUACUUUGUGAAAACAAGCUAAUCUCAUAAAACGCGGCCUCAGUUCGGAUUGCAGGCUGAAA